CGCACAUUGCGCCCCCUGGUAUUCCGGGGGGCAUGCCUGUCCGAGCGUCAUUUCACCAAUCAAGCCCCGCUUGGUAUUGGGUGACUGGCCCGCCCUCGCGGCGGGCCCGCCCCGAACGAAUCGGCGAGGAGACCGACCCCCGGCGUGUUGAGAAUUUAACCAUUCGACGUCGGGAGCACCGGUGGCCUCCGCCGCGACCUAAACAUACAAGGUUGACCUCGGAUCAGGUAGGGAUACCCGCUGAACUUAA
This 250-nucleotide unclassified non-coding RNA is filed under the name Abrothallus usneae. Its description in RNAcentral is "partial contains 5.8S ribosomal RNA, internal transcribed spacer 2, and large subunit ribosomal RNA". The record is from RNAcentral. Lineage: Eukaryota; Fungi; Ascomycota; Dothideomycetes; Abrothallales; Abrothallaceae.